CAAUAGCGUAUAUUAAAGUUGUUGCGGUUAAAAAGCUCGUAGUUGGAUUUCUGCUGAGAACGACCGGUCCGCCCUCUGGGUGUGUAUCUGGCUCUUUCUUGGCAUCUUCUUGGUGAACGUUGCUGCACUUGACUGUGUGGAGCGCUACCCAGGACUUUUACUUUGAGGAAAUUAGAGUGUUUCAAGCAGGCAUACGCCUUGAAUACAUUAGCAUGGAAUAAUAAGAUAGGACCUCGGUUCUAUUUUGUUGGUUUCUAGAGCUGAGGUAAUGAUUAAUAGGGAUAGUUGGGGGCAUUCGUAUUUAACUGUCAGAUGUGAAAUUCUUGGAUUUGUUAAAGACGGACUACUGCGAAAGCAUUUGCCAAGGAUGUUUUCAUUGA
Molecule: ribosomal RNA, 380 nt
Filed under: uncultured eukaryote
Lineage: Eukaryota
Description: partial 18S ribosomal RNA
Rfam family: Eukaryotic small subunit ribosomal RNA
Source: RNAcentral